RNAcentral lists this long non-coding RNA (431 nucleotides) under Brassica napus (rape). RNAcentral's name for it is "long non-coding RNA (BNAP_LNC013547)". Lineage: Eukaryota; Viridiplantae; Streptophyta; Magnoliopsida; Brassicales; Brassicaceae. The record is from RNAcentral.
GUCAGGUGAACUCUGGUGCUUCUUCAGACCGGAGGUGGGCCUUGGGGCUGAUGCACGCAGUAGGUGAUGGUGUUUCACUCCAGUUUGGCAUGUGUGUUUUGAUUAUGUUGUUUGGAGCAAGUUGGUCGUCUAUGGCCGCUUGUGAACGAUAUGCUCGGCCGCUUCAUUUCAGAACCCUUCUACACGGCUUUUGUUAUAGCUCUGCCUUGCUUUUGGCUGAUGUCAAUCGCUUGGUUUGUCUCAUACGUUCAGCGCUCGACCCUUCUCCAUUCACACCGGACUCGGGUCCUCUCAUUAUGGUUAUUGCCUUUGGUUCUCAAAGGUAACAAAAGGCAAGGCGGUGCUCGGCUUGUCAUUCCCGCCUCGGUGUCUCCUUUUGGUCUAAUUCACUUCCCAUGACCACAUUAGCUUUAGGAGCUCGUGUGGUGGUG